GAACAUCCCGACCACAUUGUUAAGGUAAUCAUGAUAUUUGGUAUGGAAUGAAAUCAUACUAUAUCUGUUUCCAUUGGCAUUUCUUUAUAUUAUGUUAUGUUACAUCCUGGAUGUUGGACUUCAUGGACUUAAUUUGCAUGAGUUCUGUAAAAUCUAUUUAUGAAUGUCAUAUAACUUCAAACUUAUAAUAUAUUUUAACUUGGAACUUUGAAAAAUUGUGUUCAAUUAUUUUUACUUCAUGGUGUUCACCAAAGAAGCAUACUGCAAAUGCAUCCAACUGAAACAACUGUCAGAGAUCUUUUGAGCUUUAAUGCUUGAAAUGGGCCAUAUCCUCUUGUUAUUAUAUUUUGAAUAUAUUUCAUAGAAGCAUUAUGUUGGACUAAUGUACUUGCUAUGUGCCUUGAUAUUCUGUUAUCAUGGUUUGUGUAGGACGCACUGUACAGAAUCAUGUAGUACAAUUCUCCCCUUCUACAAACUUUGCAUCUAAUUUUCAUUGAUUGUUUU
Molecule: unclassified non-coding RNA, 504 nt
Filed under: Hevea brasiliensis (rubber tree)
Lineage: Eukaryota; Viridiplantae; Streptophyta; Magnoliopsida; Malpighiales; Euphorbiaceae
Source: RNAcentral